GGCAAGAGAGACCCGUCCACUUUAACUAUGGGCGCCGAAGGGGCAAGACCAUAAGGUUGAAACUCUCAGGCAUAAGGAUUGU
This 82-nucleotide non-coding RNA is filed under the name Cloacibacillus porcorum. Its description in RNAcentral is "Glycine riboswitch". It matches the Rfam family "Glycine riboswitch aptamer", at positions 10 to 85 of the family's 94-position model. Rfam says of the family: This family represents the bacterial glycine riboswitch. Glycine riboswitches usually consist of two metabolite-binding aptamers domains with similar structures in tandem. Lineage: Bacteria; Thermotogati; Synergistota; Synergistia; Synergistales; Synergistaceae. The record is from RNAcentral.